ACGAACGCUGGCGGCGUGCUUAACACAUGCAAGUCGCACGGAAAGGCCCUGCUUGCAGGGUACUCGAGUGGCGAACGGGUGAGUAACACGUGGGUGAUCUGCCCUGCACUUCGGGAUAAGCCUGGGAAACUGGGUCUAAUACCGGAUAGGAGCCAUUUUUAGUGUGAUGGUUGGAAAGUUUUUUCGGUGUAGGAUGAGCUCGCGGCCUAUCAGCUUGUUUGUGGGGUAAUGGCCUACCAAGGCGGCGACGGGUAGCCGGCCUGAGAGGGUGGACGGCACAUUGGGACUGAGAUACGGCCCAGACUCCUACGGGAGGCAGCAGUGGGGAAUAUUGCACAAUGGGCGCAAGCCUGAUGCAGCGACGCCGCGUGGGGGAUGACGGCCUUCGGGUUGUAAACUCCUUUCGCUAGGGACGAAGCUUUUUGUGACGGUACCUAGAUAAGAAGCACCGGCUAACUACGUG
This 463-nucleotide ribosomal RNA is filed under the name uncultured bacterium. Its description in RNAcentral is "partial 16S ribosomal RNA". It matches the Rfam family "Bacterial small subunit ribosomal RNA", at positions 29 to 507 of the family's 1533-position model. The record is from RNAcentral.